AACGAACGCUGGCGGCAGGCCUAACACAUGCAAGUCGAGCGGACCCUUCGGGGUUAGCGGCGGACGGGUGAGUAACGCGUGGGAAUAUGCCCUUCUCUACGGAAUAGUCCUGGGAAACUGGGGGUAAUACCGUAUACGCCCUUUGGGGGAAAGAUUUAUCGGGGAAGGAUUAGCCCGCGUUGGAUUAGGUAGUUGGUGGGGUAAUGGCCUACCAAGCCGACGAUCCAUAGCUGGUUUGAGAGGAUGAUCAGCCACACUGGGACUGAGACACGGCCCAGACUCCUACGGGAGGCAGCAGUGGGGAAUCUUAGACAAUGGGGGCAACCCUGAUGUAGCCAUGCCGCGUGAGUGAUGAAGGCCUUAGGGUUGUAAAGCUCUUUCAGCUGGGAAGAUAAUGACGGUACCAGCAGAAGAAGCCCCGGCUAACUCCGUG
RNAcentral lists this ribosomal RNA (433 nucleotides) under uncultured bacterium. RNAcentral's name for it is "partial 16S ribosomal RNA". It matches the Rfam family "Bacterial small subunit ribosomal RNA", at positions 29 to 507 of the family's 1533-position model. The record is from RNAcentral.